CACGUAGGCACCAAGCGUUGUCCGGAUUUAUUGGGCGUAAAGAGCUCGUAGGCGGCUCGGUAAGUCGGGUGUGAAAACUUUGGGCUCAACCCAAAGCCUGCACCCGAUACUGCUGUGACUUGAGUCCGGUAGGGGAGUGGGGAAUUCCUGGUGUAGCGGUGGAAUGCGCAGAUAUCAGGAGGAACACCGGUGGCGAAGGCGCCACUCUGGGCCGGUACUGACGCUGAGGAGCGAAAGCGUGGGGAGCGAACAGG
Molecule: ribosomal RNA, 254 nt
Filed under: uncultured bacterium
Lineage: Bacteria
Description: partial 16S ribosomal RNA
Rfam family: Bacterial small subunit ribosomal RNA
Source: RNAcentral